AGUCGACCCCUAAGGCGAGGCCGAAAGGCGUAGUCGAUGGGAAACAGGUUAAUAUUCCUGUACUUGGUGUUACUGCGAAGGGGGGACGGAGAAGGCUAUGUUGGCCGGGCGACGGUUGUCCCGGUUUAAGCGUGUAGGCUGGUUUUCCAGGCAAAUCCGGAAAAUCAAGGCUGAGGCGUGAUGACGAGGCACUACGGUGCUGAAGCAACAAAUGCCCUGCUUCCAGGAAAAGCCUCUAAGCAUCAGGUAACAUCAAAUCGUACCCCAAACCGACACAGGUGGUCAGGUAGAGAAUACCAAGGCGCUUGAGAGAACUCGGGUGAAGGAACUAGGCAAAAUGGUGCCGUAACUUCGGGAGAAGGCACGCUGAUAUGUAGGUGAAGCGACUUGCUCGUGGAGCUGAAAUCAGUCGAAGAUACCAGCUGGCUGCAACUGUUUAUUAAAAACACAGCACUGUGCAAACACGAAAGUGGACGUAUACGGUGUGACGCCUGCCCGGUGCCGGAAGGUUAAUUGAUGGGGUUAGCGCAAGCGAAGCUCUUGAUCGAAGCCCCGGUAAACGGCGGCCGUAACUAUAACGGUCCUAAGGUAGCGAAAUUCCUUGUCGGGUAAGUUCCGACCUGCACGAAUGGCGUAAUGAUGGCCAGGCUGUCUCCACCCGAGACUCAGUGAAAUUGAACUCGCUGUGAAGAUGCAGUGUACCCGCGGCAAGACGGAAAGACCCCGUGAACCUUUACUAUAGCUUGACACUGAACAUUGAGCCUUGAUGUGUAGGAUAGGUGGGAGGCUUUGAAGUGUGGACGCCAGUCUGCAUGGAGCCGACCUUGAAAUACCACCCUUUAAUGUUUGAUGUUCUAACGUUGGCCCCUGAUCGGGGUUGCGGACAGUGUCUGGUGGGUAGUUUGACUGGGGCGGUCUCCUCCUAAAGAGUAACGGAGGAGCACGAAGGUUGGCUAAUCCUGGUCGGACAUCAGGAGGUUAGUGCAAUGGCAUAAGCCAGCUUGACUGCGAGCGUGACGGCGCGAGCAGGUGCGAAAGCAGGUCAUAGUGAUCCGGUGGUUCUGAAUGGAAGGGCCAUCGCUCAACGGAUAAAAGGUACUCCGGGGAUAACAGGCUGAUACCGCCCAAGAGUUCAUAUCGACGGCGGUGUUUGGCACCUCGAUGUCGGCUCAUCACAUCCUGGGGCUGAAGUAGGUCCCAAGGGUAUGGCUGUUCGCCAUUUAAAGUGGUACGCGAGCUGGGUUUAGAACGUCGUGAGACAGUUCGGUCCCUAUCUGCCGUGGGCGCUGGAGAACUGAGGGGGGCUGCUCCUAGUACGAGAGGACCGGAGUGGACGCAUCACUGGUGUUCGGGUUGUCAUGCCAAUGGCACUGCCCGGUAGCUAAAUGCGGAAGAGAUAAGUGCUGAAAGCAUCUAAGCACGAAACUUGCCCCG
This 1434-nucleotide ribosomal RNA is filed under the name Escherichia coli. RNAcentral describes it as "partial 23S ribosomal RNA". It matches the Rfam family "Bacterial large subunit ribosomal RNA", at positions 1382 to 2801 of the family's 2925-position model. The record is from RNAcentral. Lineage: Bacteria; Pseudomonadati; Pseudomonadota; Gammaproteobacteria; Enterobacterales; Enterobacteriaceae.